RNAcentral lists this ribosomal RNA (1821 nucleotides) under Triticum aestivum (bread wheat). Its description in RNAcentral is "partial small subunit ribosomal RNA". Lineage: Eukaryota; Viridiplantae; Streptophyta; Magnoliopsida; Poales; Poaceae. The record is from RNAcentral.
AUGGAGUACUAUCAUAUUGCCAACAAGAUGUUUAAUAGUGAGGAUGAAGGUUAUACAUUCUAUAACAAAUAUGGUCUUGGGAAAGGUUUUAGUGUCCGGAGAAGCUAUGUCGAGUGGGAUGGAUCCAACUGCCAUAUAAUUUUAAGGAAAUUUGUGUGUAGUCGUGAAGGGGUUCGUGAAGAGAAGCACAUGAACAGGAAGAUGGAAGAUAGAAAGAGGAGGCCACAGAGUAUAACUCGUGUAGGGUGUAAAGCUAAAUUGGUGUUUGCAAGACAUGAGGAAACAGGUCAGUGGUUUGUCAAGGAUUUCAUCGAUGAACACAACCAUCCUCUAGCCCCACGGGAUCUGUCGUGUCUUUUGCGUUCACACAGAAGAAUUAGCGAUGAGCAGAAAGCGGACAUUGCAGACAUGGAAAAAUCUGGGAUCAGAAAACACCAUAUUAUGGAUAUUAUGUGCAUGCAAUACAGUGGAUAUGAUGAGGUUGGAUGCAUUAUGAGGGACAUUUACAAUUUCUGCCAUGCUAACAAGCAGGAAACAAUUUCUUCCGGGGAUGCUCAAACGGUGAUCAAUCACAUGGUGGCGAGGCAAGAGCAAGAUUCAGAUUUUUUCUUCAGGUACUUGGUUGAUGAAGCUGGCCAUCUGAAGGGACUAUUCUGGUGUGAUAGUCAAUCCUGACUUGACUACGAGGCUUUCGGAGACGUUAUUGUUUUUGAUAGCACAUACAUAACCAAUAAGUACAAUCUGCCAUCUAUGCCGUUUGUCGGGUUGAAUCACCACCGCAGCACCGUUAUUUUUGCAUGUGGUAUCAUUUCACAUGAAACAAGCCAGGCAUACGAGUGGAUGUUAUGGACCUUUUCUGAUGCUAUGGGACAGAAGCAUCCUAUAUCUGUGAUCACGGAUGGGGACCUUGCAAUGCAGAGAGCAAUCAAGGUGGUGUGGCCUGACUCAAACCAUUGGCUCUGUAUAUGGCACAUUCAGCAGAACAUUGUACGCCAUCUGCAUGAUGACGCGGUAAAGGAGGAAUUCCGAUCUUUCAUAUAUGAUACAUCUUCCAUUGAAGAGCAUGAGAGAAAAUGGUUACACUUCUUACAACGGAAUAAAGUAACAAGUGAGGACUCCUGGCUGCAUCAGAUGUAUAAGAUGAGAAAACUGUGGUGUGCUCCAUAUCUUGAGGGCCGUUGUUUCCUAGGAUUGAGCAGCAAUCAGCGGAGUGAGAGUUUAAACUCGGUGCUACAUACGCAUCUUGAGGCUAAGAUGACGUUGUUUCAAAUGCUAGAGCACUAUGAGCAUUGCCUUGCGUCGCGACGCUUGAACGAGGCUCUCCAAGACGUCGAGGCCUUACAGUCCAUUCCGCUCACAGAGGAAAAUGCUUCAGUUCUUGAGAAACAUGCUACGAAAGUUUUCACUCUUGCUGUGUUUAAGUUGGUCUUAUGGAGCAUAGAUGCUGUCAUAAAAUGUGAGAUCAGAGAGGUACUUGAUGCAGCAGAGGUUACCACAUACGUUGUGUCUAAGAAGGAAAGAAUGGAUAAAAAGAUUGAAGUGCGCACGGAGACGAAGGAAGGUAUGCUUCGCAGUAUCAGUUGUUCUUGCCGCAAAUUGGGAAUUUUACAAGAAGAAACACUGCCCAGGUGUUGUGUUCCCACUAGGUGGAUAAUGAGUGCAAAAUGUGCAUUCGCACCGACCAGAAAGAGCGAGAUGUAUGCAUACUCUGGAGCCCUACAAAGGUACCGUAAGCUAAGGAAUUUUAGUCACGCAGCAUGUUUCAAGGCAUGCCACUCUGAUGAAGCGUUUCAGCAUCUAAAAAGGGUUUUGGAAGGAUAA